GAGUCCUUACGGAAGGCUGAAUGGGAACUCCACCUACUGCCUGUUGACCAAGCAUUAAAUAUUUUGGAGGUUCAAAAGCCUCUGAGCUUGUCAUAAUGGGCUUGCUUUCAGCACUGAGCAAAGAAUUACCCAUCUGGGAUAUCAUUCUCCUCCGGGAAAGGGUCUCCAAUCACCUCUCAUAAGGAGACAUGUCCUGCUGCCUCACUGCGGUGGCCUCAGGGGUAAGGAAUCAGAACCCACCCAGUGUGAAGAAUAAACCUGGACUCUCGGCAACACAGGAAGAAAAAGCCUACAGUACAGAUACCACGGCGACAAGGACUCAAGGCCUCCUAGCGAGAUUACAUCCUUGUCAAAGGUUGGAAAGAGGGAAAGCUCAAACCCACCUGGGAAGGACCUUACCUGGUACUCCUAACAACUGAAAUAGCACUCCGGAAAGCCGAAAAAGGGUGAACCCACCACACAAGUGAAGAAGGCCCCACCUCUGGCAAAGUCAUGGACCAUCACUCCAGGACCAACAGCCUCAAAACUAACAUUCAAACGGGUUUGUCUUUUUCUUCUCCCCUUAGCUACUCAAGGAUAUCUUACUGUUAAUGUAACUAUGCUUGUCUAGUCUUACCUUGUGGAGAUCUCCAAAGUCAAAGACAGUUAGCUUGUACAGAAAAGUACUUCUGCCCCUCUGUGGAAAGAGUUAAUACUCCUGUGUCUUGCAUAUGGGGGGAAUCCUCAGAGGAAGAGUUAGGCAAUUGGGGGUUAUGGUCUCAGUGGGCAGUUUUAGGGCACUGCCCUAAAACCAUACCUACACUUCACCAAAGGGGCCACCCCUUCUGACUGUCAAUCUAAUCAUUGCAAUCCAGUACUUAUCCAUUGUAAAAAUUAAAGAUCUAAAGCAAACCAUAGCCAUUGAAA
Homo sapiens (human) is the source of this 906-nucleotide long non-coding RNA. The record is from Ensembl. NCBI's taxonomy places the organism in Eukaryota, Metazoa, Chordata, Mammalia, Primates, Hominidae.